This is a non-coding RNA of Cervus elaphus (red deer), 443 nucleotides long. The record is from the annotation of a RefSeq genome assembly. NCBI's taxonomy places the organism in Eukaryota, Metazoa, Chordata, Mammalia, Artiodactyla, Cervidae.
CACUGUCCUCUUGGAAGCAGUCACCAAAUAACGUAAACUCAUUAACAAGAGAUCCAGAAGAAAUGAUGAAUAUGAAGUUUAUCUUCACUUCACUUCUAGUACUGGCCCUUCCAGGGCCGAGAAGAGCAGACUGGAUCAGAUCCCAGGAGACAGAAGUGUCUGGAGCAGAGGGGAAGACUGUGAGCCUCUUUUGUAAUUAUCAUACUUCAUCUACAAGCUUCGUUAGUCUCCUCUGGUAUCGACAGUAUCCAAAUCAGGCGCCAGAAUAUAUUCUCUACAGACAUUGGGGGUCCUCUGGAAAAGGAUAUGCCAGUUUUGCCACAGAACGGUUUUACUCAGAUAAUACAGCCAACACAACAAAUUUGUACAUCAAGAAGGUGGUGCCUGCAGACACGGCCCUGUACCUCUGUGCCCUGGAGAGGCACAAAGAGAAUACUGCAUAG